Molecule: ribosomal RNA, 667 nt
Filed under: uncultured archaeon
Lineage: Archaea
Description: bacterial SSU rRNA
Rfam family: Archaeal small subunit ribosomal RNA
Source: RNAcentral
CUGGUUGAUCCUGCCAGAGGCCAUUGCUAUCAGGGUUUGACUAAGCCAUGCGAGUCGAGAGGUGUAAGACCUCGGCAUACUGCUCAGUAACACGUGGUUAACCUGCCCUAGGGUGGAGCAUACUCCCGGGAAACUGGGGCUAAUACUCCAUAGUGGAUGCAUCCUGGAAUGGUGCAUCCUCNAAAGAUCCGUCGCCUUAGGAUGGGACUGGGUCCGAUUAGGGUGGUGGCGGGGUAACGGCCCACCAAGCCAUUGAUCGGUACGGGUUGGGGGAGCAAGAUCCCGGAGAUGGAUUCUGAGACAUGAAUCCAGGGCCUACGGGGCGCAGCAGGCGCGCAAACUUUACAAUGGGAGCAAUCGUGAUAAGGAAACCCUGAGUGGCUGUCGAUGCAGGCUGGUCAUAUAUCUAAAUCAUAUGUGAAGAAAGGGCACGGCAAGAGCGGUGCCANGCCGCCGCGGUAAUACCGGCUGCUCGAGGUGUGGCCACUAUUAGUGGGUUUAAAGCGCCGUAGCUUGGCUGUUAGGGCCCUUGGGAAUCUUCACGCUUAGCGUGAGGGCGCUAAANAUACCGGAGUCUUGAACUGGGAGAGGAAACGUACUUCGGGGGGAGGAGGGAAUCUUGGAUGCUCGGGGGAGACUAUGGGGAAGGAGUUACCAAACAGUUCGA